Molecule: ribosomal RNA, 120 nt
Filed under: Escherichia coli EC4100B
Lineage: Bacteria; Pseudomonadati; Pseudomonadota; Gammaproteobacteria; Enterobacterales; Enterobacteriaceae
Source: RNAcentral
UGUCUGGCGGCAGUAGCGCGGUGGUCCCACCUGACCCCAUGCCGAACUCAGAAGUGAAACGCCGUAGCGCCGAUGGUAGUGUGGGGUCUCCCCAUGCGAGAGUAGGGAACUGGGAGACAU